Molecule: long non-coding RNA, 783 nt
Filed under: Rattus norvegicus (Norway rat)
Lineage: Eukaryota; Metazoa; Chordata; Mammalia; Rodentia; Muridae
Description: long non-coding RNA NONRATT011950
Source: RNAcentral
GGAAGUCUCUCUGUGGAGGUCUGAGGGAAGAGCUCGCGCCAGGUAGACGCUGCGCCGUCAUCAUGGGCAAGGGGGACCCCAACAAGCCGCGGGGCAAGAUGUCCUCGUACGCCUUCUUCGUGCAGACCUGCCGGGAGGAGCACAAGAAGAAGCAUCCCGACUCGUCGGUCAACUUCGCCGAGUUCUCGAAGAAAUGUUCGGAGAGAUGGAAGGUGGGGGCGGCAUUCCCACUCACCUGCAGGCCGUUUCCGGGGUAGUUUUUUUUUUUUUUUUGGCGGGUCCCCUGCGGGCAGGGGGACCAGGGACGAGAGGAUUUGAAAAGUUCCCAAGCCGAGGCGCCAUUAAUGCAAAUGGGAAUUUUUGCUCGUUUCUUGGUCCGGCUAAGAGCUGAUUUUUUUUUUUUUGGUUGGGAGCCUAGCCUUUAACGGCUGAGCCAUCUCCAGCCACCGGCUAAGAGCUUUAAAGUUUACCGACUUCCUCGACGCAUUUGUCUAUCCACUUACUUGUACAGCCAAGAACUUUAAACUUCUUGCCCAUUGACUUGGUUUUUCUGCCCAUAGACCAUGUCUGCCAAGGAAAAGUCGAAGUUUGAGGAUUUGGCCAAGAGCGACAAAGCUCGUUAUGACAGGGAGAUGAAGAACUAUGUUCCUCCCAAAGGUGAUAAGAAAGGAAAGAAAAAAGAUCCAAAUGCUCCCAAGAGACCACCGUAAGUUGAUCUGAAAACUGACCCAACCCACCCGCCCCAGUCCUAUCCUUUAUUUAACAACUCUUGCUUCCUUGCAG